This 1146-nucleotide long non-coding RNA is filed under the name Homo sapiens (human). Its description in RNAcentral is "LHRI_LNC1676.4". Lineage: Eukaryota; Metazoa; Chordata; Mammalia; Primates; Hominidae. The record is from RNAcentral.
GUCAGUAUGUUCUUCAAGCUGCUCUGCUCCUGGGCCCAAGCUAUUCUCCUGCCUCAGCCUUCCAAGAAGCUGAAACUACAAGAACACAAGACUGUACCUGGCUUGCAAACACCAUUGCUAAUAAGAAGAUAUUGUAAGACUGAUACCUAAGAGAUAAGAGAGUCUCACUCAUUCUGUCGCCCAGGCUGGAGUGCAGUGGCGUGAUCUCAGCUCACUGCAACCUCCACCUCCCGGAUUCAAGCGAUUCUCCUGCCUCAGCCUCCUGAGUAGCUGGGACUACAGGCCCUCCCUCCGUUGCCCAGGUGGGAGUGCAGUGGUGUGAUGUCAGUUCACUGCAACCUUGGCCUCCCGGAUUCAAGCGAUUCUCCUGCCUUAACCUUCCGAACAUGGAUCCCUGAGGUCGGUCCCCAAUACGACAAGACAAUUUGAUAUCAUAAUAGAACACUGCAGAAACAAUGCUGAGUGAAGAAGAGUAGAAAUGGGAAGACUUGGUUGAGCGGAAACUGAGUUCUUGAAAAGAGGAGAUGCUUGAUGAGGGCAUGGAUCCCUGAGGUCUGCCCCAGUACUAUAAGACAAUUUGAUGUAAGAAAACACAGCAGAUAUAAUACUGAGUGAAGAAGAGUAUAAAUGAGAAGAUUGGUUGUGCAGAUACUGAGUUCAUGAAAAGAGGAGAUGAUUGAUGAGGCCAGGUGCGGUGACUCAUGCCUGUAAUCCCUGCACUUUGGGAGGCUGCGGCGGGCGGAUCACCUGAGGUCAGGAGUUCGAGACCAGCCUGGGAGACAGAGCAUGGAAACCUAAGGUCUGUACCCAAAACUACAGGACUAUUUGACAUCAUAAUAAAACACUGCAGAUAUGAUGCUGAGUAAGAGUAGAAAUGGGAAGACUUGGUUGUGCAGUAACUGAGUUCUUGAAAAGAGGAGAUGCUUGAUGAGGGCAUGGAUCACUAAGGUCUGUUCCCAAUACAAGAAGACUCUUUGACAUCAUAAUAAAAUACUGCAGAUACGAUGCUGAGUGAAAAAGAGUAGAAAUGGGAAGACUUGGUUGUGCAGAAACUGAGUUCUUAAAGAGAGGAGAUACUUUAUGAGGGCUGGAGUGCACUGGAGCAAUCCUGGCUGGCCAAUACUGAGUUCUUGAAAACAGGAGAUG